CACAGAAGUAGCAACACUUGAGGGAAGAAAGACCAGAAUUUCAGUUUUGGUCAAGUUGAGUUUAAGGAAGUGGGCAGCCAUCCAGUUAGAAAUCGCAGAGAGGCAGUCAGAGACACUAAUCAAGAGGGACGGGGAGAGAUCAGGAGAGGACAGGUAGAUUUGCGUGUCAUCCGCAUAUAAAUGAUAUUGGAAGCCAAAAUGAGCUAAUGAGUUUACCAAGGGAUAGAGAACAG
Molecule: long non-coding RNA, 233 nt
Filed under: Pelobates cultripes (western spadefoot toad)
Lineage: Eukaryota; Metazoa; Chordata; Amphibia; Anura; Pelobatidae
Source: RNAcentral